Molecule: ribosomal RNA, 445 nt
Filed under: uncultured bacterium
Lineage: Bacteria
Description: bacterial SSU rRNA
Rfam family: Bacterial small subunit ribosomal RNA
Source: RNAcentral
GUAGGGAAUAUUGGGCAAUGGGUGCAAGCCUGACCCAGCCAUCCCGCGUGCCGGAUGAAGGCCCUCUGGGUCGUAAACGGCUUUUGACGGUGAAGAACCGAAAGGGUGCGCCCUUUUUUGACGGUAGCCGUUGAAUAAGCACCGGCUAACUCCGUGCCAGCAGCCGCGGUAAUACGGAGGGUGCGAGCGUUGUCCGGAUUUAUUGGGUUUAAAGGGUGCGUAGGCUGGAGGGACAGUCAGCGGUGAAAAGCAGUUGCUCAACAAUUGUCUUGCCGCAGAUACUACCUUUCUUGGAUUGGGAGGAGGUUACCGGAACGGAUGGUGUAGCGGUGAAAUGCAUAGAUAUCAUCCAGAACGCCAAUUGCGAAGGCAGGUAACUGUACCUAUAUCGACGCUGAUGCACGAAAGCAUGGGUAGCGAACAGGAUUAGAAACCCUUGUAGUCC